RNAcentral lists this ribosomal RNA (382 nucleotides) under uncultured eukaryote. RNAcentral describes it as "partial 18S ribosomal RNA". It matches the Rfam family "Eukaryotic small subunit ribosomal RNA", at positions 592 to 976 of the family's 1831-position model. The record is from RNAcentral.
CAAUAGCGUAUAUUAAAGUUGUUGCAGUUAAAAAGCUCGUAGUUGGAUUUCUGGUUGAAGCGACCGGUCGGGCGUUGAUUCGUCUGCACUGGAGUCGGUUUUGGCCAUCCUCGAGGAAAGUGCGUCUGGUAUUAAGUUAUCGGGCGUAUGAUCCUGGUCUUUUACUGUGAAAAAAUUAGAGUGUUUAAAGCAGGCCUUCGCCUUGAAUACAUUAGCAUGGAAUAAUAAGAUAGGACUUUGGUCUAUUUUGUUGGUUUGCAGACCGAAGUAAUGAUUAAUAGGGAUAGUUGGGGGUAUUUAUAUUCCGAUGUCAGAGGUGAAAUUCUUAGAUUUUCGGAAGAUAAACUUAUGCGAAAGCAUUUACCAAGGAUGUUUUCAUUAA